UAUAAUCGUGGUAUUUGCUCG
Molecule: non-coding RNA, 21 nt
Filed under: Caenorhabditis elegans
Lineage: Eukaryota; Metazoa; Nematoda; Chromadorea; Rhabditida; Rhabditidae
Source: RNAcentral